GACGAACGCUGGCGGCGUGCCUAAUACAUGCAAGUAGAACGCUGAAGGAGGAGCUUGCUUCUCUGGAUGAGUUGCGAACGGGUGAGUAACGCGUAGGUAACCUGCCUGGUAGCGGGGGAUAACUAUUGGAAACGAUAGCUAAUACCGCAUAAUAGUAGAUGUUGCAUGACAUUUGCUUAAAAGGUGCAAUUGCAUCACUACCAGAUGGACCUGCGUUGUAUUAGCUAGUUGGUGGGGUAACGGCUCACCAAGGCGACGAUACAUAGCCGACCUGAGAGGGUGAUCGGCCACACUGGGACUGAGACGCGGCCCAGACUCCUACGGGAGGCAGCAGUAGGGAAUCUUCGGCAAUGGACGGAAGUCUGACCGAGCAACGCCGCGUGAGUGAAGAAGGUUUUCGGAUCGUAAAGCUCUGUUGUAAGAGAAGAACGAGUGUGAGAGUGGAAAGUUCACACUGUGACGGUAUCUGACCAGAAAGGGACGGCUAACUACGUG
This 495-nucleotide ribosomal RNA is filed under the name uncultured bacterium. RNAcentral describes it as "partial 16S ribosomal RNA". It matches the Rfam family "Bacterial small subunit ribosomal RNA", at positions 28 to 507 of the family's 1533-position model. The record is from RNAcentral.